RNAcentral lists this ribosomal RNA (251 nucleotides) under uncultured bacterium. RNAcentral's name for it is "partial 16S ribosomal RNA". It matches the Rfam family "Bacterial small subunit ribosomal RNA", at positions 524 to 776 of the family's 1533-position model. The record is from RNAcentral.
UACGGGGGGGGCAAGCGUUGUUCGGAAUUACUGGGCGUAAAGGGCUCGUAGGCGGGCUGCCGCGUCCGGGGUGAAAUCCCACGGCUCAACCGUGGAACGGCCCCGGGUACGGGCGGCCUCGAGGGGGUAGGGCGUGCGGAACUGUGGGUGGAGCGGUGAAAUGCGUUGAGAUCCACAGGAACUCCGGUGGCGAAGGCGGCACGCUGGACCCCUUCUGACGCUGAGGCGCGAAAGCCAGGGGAGCGAACGGG